AAUUGGUUAUGUCACUUUAUUUUAUAACUAUUUUGUCCACAUUUUCCUUUUUCUAAGGAAUGAAUAUUUACUUGAAAGGCCCACAGACAUUAUUUAGUUAUCUUUACCAUGCAUUUGUUUCUUUUAAUAUGGCACCAUGUGGAAGUGUAGUUUUGCUCAACUCAUACGUGUGUGAAAGAAAGCAUAGUGAAUAUGACUAAGUGCAUAGGCCCAGGAACCAGAUGACCUGGGUUUAAAUCCCAGCUCUUACUGUGACCCUCAGGCAAGUGCCUUCUUUUAACUCAGUUUCCUCAUCUGUAAAACAGGAAUUUCAUUGUUUAAAAUUGUGGGGUCCAAUUAUUCUGAGGUUAAUAGUAAAGCAGUAUUUUUCAGGUGCCCUGGCACAAAAGGGCUGGAAGUGCAAAAAGAAAGACAAAUGGGACUGGAGCAAUAAAAUGGAAGAUGAAGGGGUGAUAUCCAGAGAUCAGAAAUUGGAGAUGCCCCUGGGCUGGCUGCUGCACCAUUGGAGGCACUGUUAGAGUCAAGCUUGGAUCUGCUGAAGAGGUGUCACUCAGCCAAAGGGUGCUGCCUCUGCCCUAGCUGGUCAUCUGGAUUCACUUCAUUCACAUAGCAGCAAGAGUAUCUGCCACCAACUACCAUACAUUUGGAGUCAAGAGCCUUUCUCUUUUUUUUUUCAGCCUUCUCAGUUCCUUUCAGUGCCUAACAAGAGAAGCAAGAGAGCCUGGAAAUGUAGUUUGAUACCUCCCAGCCCUAGAUGUUCACAGUAUAGAAGGGAUGGUAAAGGAGGUGGUGUUACAUUUCUGUACUGCUGGUGCAUUGAGAGACCCAAGCAAGUAUCAGGCUUUUCAUCCGUGGAACACAUGCUCCAGAACCUUCUAGCUGUUCACUUGUGAUGGAUACUCUGUUAGCCUUCACUAUUGAAUGCACUUUUAAAAAUGAUCAAAACCAACAUUUCCCACAGUAUGAAAUGUUUGCAAAAAAGUGUAAACUUAUUACUCAUCCAAGAUGUGGGCCAAUGCUUCUUUUCAAACUUGUGCUAACUAAUAACAGAGACCAGAGCUGGAACUUAGUCAAGGCAAAGCUACAAGCCAAACAGUGGUGGAGAAGGGUGGAACAUGUCGUGACUUGAGGUAAUGAUGAGCAUGUGGGUGAAGUGAGGGGCAGUAAGACCAUAUGGGGAACGCUGAGGCCAAGUGGGUGUGUGUCAAUGGAGGGCAUGCAUGCAUAGGGUUGGGCACUGGGCACUCCCCGUAUAACCACUAACAGAUUAAAAACUCUGGUACUUUUGCUGAUUCCUUAAAUAAGGGAAUAUAUGGAAUUUUGUAUAAGUCUCAGUUGUGAUGAAUUGUUCCUCAGUUGUGAUGAAUUGUUUCUGCAGUUAACCAAAUUGGGAUUUGGAACAUUUAAAAGCCUGAUAUACAAUGUACAAAAUUCAGUAGCACUUCUGUACUUCUUUUUUUGUUUUUUUGAGUCAGGG
This 1477-nucleotide long non-coding RNA is filed under the name Homo sapiens (human). RNAcentral's name for it is "HSALNT0315799". Lineage: Eukaryota; Metazoa; Chordata; Mammalia; Primates; Hominidae. The record is from RNAcentral.